This 1121-nucleotide ribosomal RNA is filed under the name uncultured fungus. RNAcentral's name for it is "eukaryotic LSU rRNA". The stretch from base 490 to 1121 matches the Rfam family "Eukaryotic large subunit ribosomal RNA", at positions 1 to 648 of the family's 3401-position model. Lineage: Eukaryota; Fungi. The record is from RNAcentral.
AAAGUCGUAACAAGGUUUCCGUAGGUGAACCUGCGGAAGGAUCAUUAUUGUCGGGAUGUAUUCCUGUCAAGAUACCACCCUAUGUUUAUUAGUACCUCUGUUUCCUCAGCAGGCUUGCUUGCUAGUAGGACUGUUUAAACGCUCUUGUUGUAGCCAGCUAUAUCAGUUAUUAUUAAUGUAAAAACUUUCAACAACGGAUCUCUUGGCUCUAGCAUCGAUGAAGAACGCAGCAAAAUGCGAUAAGUAGUGUGAAUUGCAGAAUUUAGUGAAUCAUCGAAUCUUUGAACGCACAUUGCGCCCUUUGGUAUUCCAUUGGGCAUGCCUGUUCGAGCGUCAUUUAAUCCUUCAAGCUUUGCUUGGUGUUGGGUGGUUGUCCUACCAUAGGGUAUGGACUCGCCUUAAAUAUAUUGGCAGUGAAUAGGCUAGUUUUGCAUGCAGCACACGCAAGCAAUUCUAGCAGAUUUCUACCCAUAAGCUCCCCAUUAAAUUUGACCUCGGAUCAGGUAGGGAUACCCGCUGAACUUAAGCAUAUCAAUAAGCGGAGGAAAAGAAACCAACAGGGAUUGCCCUAGUAACGGCGAGUGAAGCGGCAGAAGCUCAAAUUUGAAAUCCGACUCUUUUAGAGUCUGAGUUGUAAUUUGUAGAGGGUGCUUUGGAGUUGGCAGCAGCCUAAGUUCCUUGGAACAGGUCAUCAUAGAGGGUGAGAAUCCCGUAUGUGGUUGCUCUGUCUUCGCCAUGUAAAGCCCCUUCAACGAGUCGAGUUGUUUGGGAAUGCAGCUCUAAAUGGGAGGUAAAUUUCUUCUAAAGCUAAAUAUUGGCUAGAGACCGAUAGCGCACAAGUAGAGUGAUCGAAAGAUGAAAAGCACUUUGGAAAGAGAGUCAAAAAGCACGUGAAAUUGUUGAAAGGGAAGCGCUUGCAGCCAGACAUGCUUAUAGUUGCUCAUCUAGGAGCCUUCCUAGUGUACUCUUCUACAAGCAGGCCAGCAUUAGUUUAGGCGGUUGGAAAAAGACCUGUGUCAUGUGUCUCUCUUUAGAGAGUGUUAUAGGGCAGGUGGAAUACAAUCAGCCUAGAUUAAGGUCCGCGCAUUUGCUAGGAUGCUGGCGUAAUGGCUGUAAGCGGC